UUCAGGAAGGUCGCGAGUUAGACCUUGAAACAGCAGAUGUUGUUGCGCAUGAGAUGAAAGAAUGGGCAAUCGAAAAAGGUGCAACACAUUAUACUCACUGGUUCCAGCCACUGACCGGAGUAACAGCAGAGAAACAUGAUUCAUUCAUCACA
This 152-nucleotide unclassified non-coding RNA is filed under the name fungal sp. RNAcentral's name for it is "partial contains small subunit ribosomal RNA and internal#transcribed spacer 1". The record is from RNAcentral. Lineage: Eukaryota; Fungi.